GACGAACGCUGGCGGCGUGCCUAAUACAUGCAAGUAGAACGCACAGUUUAUACCGUAGCUUGCUACACCAUAAACUGUGAGUUGCGAACGGGUGAGUAACGCGUAGGUAACCUGCCUGGUAGCGGGGGAUAACUAUUGGAAACGAUAGCUAAUACCGCAUAAUAUUGAUUAUUGCAUGAUAAUUGAUUGAAAGAUGCUAUUGCAUCACUACCAGAUGGACCUGCGUUGUAUUAGCUAGUAGGGGAGGUAACGGCUCACCUAGGCGACGAUACAUAGCCGACCUGAGAGGGUGAUCGGCCACACUGGGACUGAGACACGGCCCAGACUCCUACGGGAGGCAGCAGUAGGGAAUCUUCGGCAAUAGACGAAAGUCUGACCGAGCAACGCCGCGUGAGUGAAGAAGGUUUUCGGAUCGGAAAGCUCUGUUGUAAGAGAAGAACGGGUGUGAGAGUGGAAAGUUCACACUGUGACGGUAUCUAACCAGAAAGGGACGGCUAACUACGUG
Molecule: ribosomal RNA, 505 nt
Filed under: uncultured bacterium
Lineage: Bacteria
Description: partial 16S ribosomal RNA
Rfam family: Bacterial small subunit ribosomal RNA
Source: RNAcentral